UUUUGUUUUUUAUAAAUAAUUCUAUUAUUGAAUUUAAAUGUAAAACGUCUAAUAAAACGACCUACUUUUUAAUAAUACGUACACCAUAUUAUAUUACACUUUAAAUUAGAGUAGUCAUAUUAUGUAGUUCAGGUUUCUUAUUUAUUUUACCAUCGUAACACUAUCGGAGAAGACUGGAUCAGACUAUAAUAGUAUUAUAAUAUAAUAAUUAUAUAAGGUUGUGCGAUCGUACAAUAACAUCAAAGAAAAUUUGUUUUAUCAACUGCAGGCUGUGAGGAGGAACGCGAACAGACGGUUACAAUAUUUUACUUACAGACUUCAAUGUUGUAGUCGUACGUGCAGACAAUGUACUAAACCGGUAAUCAAUCUUUCGUAGUAAAUAGAUAUCGACCAUUAAAAACGUUGAGUCUUCUGCGAAAAUAAAUUGUUUCACCACUCGAUCAAACCGCAGAGCCGUUCAAAUGACGGGUGAAAGAGGGCGAGGGUCAGCUUCUCUGCAGCUUUUUUCUGAUUUUCUUAAAGUGAGCUCAAUUACAUCGCAGUCUUGUAUUCGUAUAAUAUUGUUUUAUACUUAAUAUAUACUCCGACAAAAAAAAUUUAAUCAAUGCCCGUUGUCAUACAGUCACCAUCGUUCUGGUAACGAAUUAAGUAUACAAGUAAAACGAUAAUAAUAUUUUGGAGUAAUUCGUCACUAUUGCAGUUAGAAAAAAAAUCACCAGUUUAAUAGUUAAUUGAAAUAGUAUGCUGAAACAGUAAAACUGUGUAAGCAUAUAGCAGUGUCAAAAAAGUAACGACAUUUUUUUUAAUACGUAAAAAUUGCAAUUAUAUAAUUUACAUUUUAAAAUACGACUAAUUUAUGAUCAAAAUGAAAAAUGUGCUUGGACGUAGUGUUUUGAAUACCUUCUUAUUCAAAAUUUUACACAGAUUUAGAACAUAGAACUGUCUAGACCAGCGGUCUUCAAUAGGAUUCGAGGAAAAGUUAAAUAAUAAUUUUGUAAAUUACUUAUGGACCGCCAACGUUCUUAAUGUGACAGAUAUAUGAUUAGUUUAUGAUUCGGAGCUAUUGGAAAAAAGCUGCAACAGCUCUACAGCAGAAAUCAAUUUACGAAUUUACGAUUUUCAAAGAAAAAUGUGUGCUGUUCAACAGCAUAUAACCACCAGUUACUACAAAUUUUCAGCGAAAAACAGCUCAGCCUUAUUUAAUUUAGAAGACGAAGGAUAUAUUUGUUGUACUUGCACGCAACUUACAUCAACAAUAAGUGCUCCACAUUUCCUGUAACAUAUUAUAAAUUACACCGAAUUAUCGUAAGUAUGCAAAAAUCAAUCGGUCUCAAAGAUUUUGUGUAAGUGUACGCCUUAAUGUUUCUAUUGGACUUAAAAAAUAAAUUGAGGUUUUAUUUUUACCAUAAUGAUUUUAUUUCCACUUUGUUAGUGAUACUUAUUUUAUAUAUUUUUUACUUCUAAAGAAAAAUAUACUUUAUGUGUGACCAAUCAUUUUAA
Molecule: long non-coding RNA, 1500 nt
Organism: Aphis gossypii (cotton aphid)
Lineage: Eukaryota; Metazoa; Arthropoda; Insecta; Hemiptera; Aphididae
Exons: 5
Source: RefSeq, a predicted model, not a curated record